GCCGAUGUGGCGGAAUGGCAGACGCGACAGACUCAAAAUCUGUUGUCCAUCAGGGCGUGGGGGUUCAAGUCCCUUCAUCGGCA
RNAcentral lists this transfer RNA (83 nucleotides) under Priestia megaterium. RNAcentral's name for it is "Bacillus megaterium tRNA-Leu". It matches the Rfam family "tRNA". Rfam says of the family: Transfer RNA (tRNA) molecules are approximately 80 nucleotides in length. Their secondary structure includes four short double-helical elements and three loops (D, anti-codon, and T loops). Lineage: Bacteria; Bacillati; Bacillota; Bacilli; Caryophanales; Bacillaceae. The record is from RNAcentral.